This 1418-nucleotide long non-coding RNA is filed under the name Delphinapterus leucas (beluga whale). RNAcentral's name for it is "lncRNA (ENSDLEG00000021893.1)". The record is from RNAcentral. Lineage: Eukaryota; Metazoa; Chordata; Mammalia; Artiodactyla; Monodontidae.
UGUUAAGCAGGAAAAGAAUGAAGAGUUCCAGUUCAAUAAUUUGUGAACACUUUUAAGGCCACUAGCAUGCUUUUUGACAAAUGUGAUUGUACUCUGAAUACAUAUAAAAAUAUUAAAGCGUGUAUCUGAGGGAACACUGAUCUCUUUUUAUCAUCUUCUCAUUGUACAGAUGCGGAAACAGAUGCUCAUAGAAGGGGAGUGAUUUGCCCAGGAUAAGCCAGGUGGUCAGCGGCAGAUCCAGGACCAGAAGCUAAUCUCCUGACUCCUAGUCCAGUGAUAUUUUUACUCCAUCACUUACUAUUCAUGAAACAUGUAAAAAGACAGGGAUGGAAAAGCAAACUGACGCCUGCAUUGAAUGACUUCUUGAAGGUACUGGGGCUACAGAGUGGUGAACUUUGCCAUCAUAGAGAUGACGUUCUCGUAGGGAAUGGAGAUGUAGUGGUGAUUGCUAUGAAGAAAAAUGCAGAAAAGCAGGGUGGUGAGCUUCUUGCAUGUUACCCUUCAUAUACCAGGUCCUUGAAAGAGGGAUGAUGGUGAUGAGGACGAUGACGAUGGUUUCUACCGAGUCAAAAAAUCAAGUUAUAGUUUGAGUUUGACGCACUGAAACUAGACAAGGAGGUCCCAGUUCUUACCUAAUGGAUGUGGAAAAGGUGUCACAUCGAUUGUUUUAUGUCAUUGGGCAAAUGGAAUAAUGUCUGGAAGAAAAAAAAAAAUACGGUAAGCCUCUAUCACAUCUGCAAAGUGUAAACAUCAUAUUAUUUUCUUUCCUUCCAAAUAAAUACUAAAGUUAAUUAGGCAGUCAGGAGUUUGAAAGGAGAAAAAGUAUGAGAAAAAGUAAUGCAACAGAUAAAUAUGGAAUAAUCAUGAGAAAAUGUAAUUUUAAAUAUUGUCUGAGGAAGCCAGGCCCAUAAAGGAUAUUAAGAACAGCUUGAGUAGAGCUGGAUGUCUAAGAAUGGACACGAUCACUGAAAUGUGGAAGAAAUGGGAAGAAAAAACAGAAUUUAAGAUGAGCUUCCCAAUGUCAUGUCCGAUUAGUGCUGCUGACUCAUCUAGUUGGGCCCUGAAGAAUUUUCAAAAUGGUAAUGGCGCUUUCCCAGGAAGAGUAUACGAUGUAGCGGAAAGAUGGGCUUUUGUGUCAGACAGACUGGAACAUGAACCUUCACUCAACUACUCCUAGUAGUGUGACUUUGAGUAGGUUACUUACAUUUUCUCAUCCUGUUUCCUCAUCUGUUGAAGAGUUGCUAAUGCCUCCUCAGGAUUGUGUGAGGACUAUUUGAAAUAGCAUAUGCCCAACCUUUAGCACUAUACCUGGCACACAGUAAUGCCCACUCACAAAUACCAGCUGUCCCUUCUGAGUUCAUAAAGUGGUUGUCCAUUGUGACACACUUUCUAGAGAUGAAAGAUUAUGAGACAGAAAU